GACGAACCGUCCAAACGUUAUUCGGAAUUACUGGGCUUAAAGGGUGCGUAGGCGGCGCGGAAAGUUGGGUGUGAAAUCCCUCGGCUCAACCGAGGAACUGCGCCCAAUACUGCCGUGCUCGAGGGAGAUAGAGGUGAGCGGAACUUAGGGUGGAGCGGUGAAAUGCGUUGAUAUCCUAAGGAACACCGGUGGCGAAAGCGGCUCACUGGAUCUCUUCUGACGCUGAGGCACGAAAGCUAGGGUAGCGAACGGGAUUAGAUACCCCGGUAGUCCUAGCCGUAAACGAUGAGCACUGGAUUGAAGGGUCCUCCAUAGCCUUUCAGUCGCAACGAAAGCGUUAAGUGCUCCGCCUGGGGAGUAUGGUCGCAAGGCUG
Molecule: ribosomal RNA, 374 nt
Filed under: uncultured prokaryote
Description: bacterial SSU rRNA
Rfam family: Bacterial small subunit ribosomal RNA
Source: RNAcentral